UCCUGGUUAGCUCAGAUGGUAGAGCGAUCCACUGGAAAUUGAGAGGUCCUCGGUUCGAUACCAGGACACUGGCG
RNAcentral lists this transfer RNA (74 nucleotides) under Ixodes scapularis (black-legged tick). Its description in RNAcentral is "tRNA-Ser for anticodon GGA". The stretch from base 6 to 67 matches the Rfam family "tRNA", at positions 6 to 65 of the family's 71-position model. Rfam says of the family: Transfer RNA (tRNA) molecules are approximately 80 nucleotides in length. Their secondary structure includes four short double-helical elements and three loops (D, anti-codon, and T loops). The record is from RNAcentral. Lineage: Eukaryota; Metazoa; Arthropoda; Arachnida; Ixodida; Ixodidae.